This 230-nucleotide long non-coding RNA is filed under the name Brassica rapa (field mustard). Its description in RNAcentral is "long non-coding RNA (BRAP_LNC001776)". Lineage: Eukaryota; Viridiplantae; Streptophyta; Magnoliopsida; Brassicales; Brassicaceae. The record is from RNAcentral.
UAGUAACAAAGUAAAUAACCUAUGGUUAAAUGACAUAAUUUUUUGUUUGUUGUCAAAACUGGUAAAUGGCAUUAAGUUAAGCAACGAAAACAAGAUAAUUAAUUAGUGGUCAGAUUCGGAAACGACACCUAAACAAGUCGUUAUAGCGUGAGGUCCACCGUUUCCUCCAAACGUCGUCGUCACACAGGCCGUAUAUAAAUAAAAAAUAAAUAUAAAAAAAAAACAAAAAC